Molecule: ribosomal RNA, 484 nt
Filed under: uncultured bacterium
Lineage: Bacteria
Description: partial 16S ribosomal RNA
Rfam family: Bacterial small subunit ribosomal RNA
Source: RNAcentral
AUUGAACGCUGGCGGCAGGCCUAACACAUGCAAGUCGAGCGGAUGAAGGGAGCUUGCUCCUGGAUUCAGCGGCGGACGGGUGAGUAAUGCCUAGGAAUCUGCCUGGUAGUGGGGGAUAACGUCCGGAAACGGGCGCUAAUACCGCAUACGUCCUGAGGGAGAAAGUGGGGGAUCUUCGGACCUCACGCUCUCAGAUGAGCCUAGGUCGGAUUAGCUAGUUUGUGGGGUAAGGGCCUACCAAGGCGACGAUCCGUAACUGGUCUGAGAGGAUGAUCAGUCACACUGGAACUGAGACACGGUCCAGACUCCUACGGGGGGCAGCAGUGGGGAAUAUUGGACAAUGGGCGAAAGCCUGAUCCAGCCAGGCCGCGUGUGUGAAGAAGGUCUUCGGAUUGUAAAGCACGUUAAGUUGGGAGGAAGGGCAGUAAGUUAAUACCUUGCUGUUUUGACGGUACCAACAGAAUAAGCACCGGCUAACUUCGUG